CAGUAGCCGCGGGAAUGCGUAGGUGGCAAGCGUUGUCCGGAAUUAUUGGGCGUAAAGCGCGCGCAGGCGGAUCAGUUAGUCUGUCUUAAAAGUUCGGGGCUUAACCCCGUGAUGGGAUGGAAACUGCUGAUCUAGAGUAUCGGAGAGGAAAGUGGAAUUCCUAGUGUAGCGGUGAAAUGCGUAGAUAUUAGGAAGAACACCAGUGGCGAAGGCGACUUUCUGGACGAAAACUGACGCUGAGGCGCGAAAACGUGGGGAGCAAACAGGAUUAGAUACCCGCGUAGUCCCUGUCUCUUAUACA
Molecule: ribosomal RNA, 301 nt
Filed under: uncultured bacterium
Lineage: Bacteria
Description: partial 16S ribosomal RNA
Rfam family: Bacterial small subunit ribosomal RNA
Source: RNAcentral